Molecule: ribosomal RNA, 1004 nt
Filed under: uncultured phototrophic eukaryote
Lineage: Eukaryota
Description: bacterial SSU rRNA
Rfam family: Bacterial small subunit ribosomal RNA
Source: RNAcentral
GAGUUUGAUUAUGGCUCAGGAUGAACGCUGGCGGUAUGCCUUAUACAUGCAAGUCGUACGAGAGUUUUUAGCUCAAGUGGCGGACGGGUGAGUAACACGUAAGAAUUUGCCUUUAGGAGGGGGACAACAACUGGAAACGGUUGCUAAUACCCCAUAUGCUUUCGAGUGAAAUGGUUUUUCCGCCUAAAGAGAAGCUUGCGGCUGAUUAGCUUGUUGGUAGAGUAAUAGCCUACCAAGGCGACGAUCAGUAUCUGGUUUGAGAGGACGAUCAGACACACUGGAACUGAGACACGGUCCAGACUCCUACGGGAGGCAGCAGUAGGGAAUUUUCCGCAAUGGGCGAAAGCCUGACGGAGCAAUACCGCGUGAGGGAUGACUGCCUAUGGGUUGUAAACCUCUUUUUUCAGGGAGGAAUAAAUGACGUGUACCUGAAGAAUAAGCAUCGGCUAACUCCGUGCCAGCAGCCGCGGUAAGACGGAGGAUGCAAGUGUUAUCCGGAAUCACUGGGCGUAAAGCGUCUGUAGGUGGUCAAAUAAGUCAACUGUUAAAUCUUGGGGCUCAACCUCAAAAUCGCAGUCGAAACUAUUAGGCUAGAGUAUAGUAGAGGUAAAGGGAAUUUCCAGUGGAGCGGUGAAAUGCGUAGAGAUUGGAAAGAACACCGAUGGCGAAGGCACUUUACUGGGCUAUUACUGACACUCAGAGACGAAAGCUAGGGUAGCAAAUGGGAUUAGAUACCCCAGUAGUCCUAGCCGUAAACAAUGGAUACUAGGUGUUGAACAGAUCGAUCUGUGCAGUACUAAAGCUAACGCGUUAAGUAUCCCGCCUGGGAAGUAUGCACGCAAGUGUGAAACUCAAAGGAAUUGACGGGGGCCCGCACAAGCGGUGGAGCAUGUGGUUUAAUUCGAUGCAACGCGAAGAACCUUACCAGGGUUUGACAUGAUACGAAUUUCUUUGAAAAAAGAAAGUGCCUUUUGGAACGUAUACACAGGUGGUGCAUGGCUGUC